UAACAGAGAAAGAGAGUUCGAUCAUGGCUCAGAUUGAACGCUGGCGGGAUGCUUUACACACAUGCAAGUCGAACGGCAGCACGGACUUCGGUCUGGUGGCGAGUGGCGAACGGGUGAAGAGUAAUGUAUCGGAACGUGCCUAGUAGCGGGGGAUAACUACGCGAAAGCGUAGCUAAUACCGCAUACGCCCUUCGGGGGGAAAACGCGGGGGACCUUCGGGCCUCGCACUAUUAGAAGCGGCCGAUAUCGGAUUAGCUAGUUGGUGGGGUAACGGCUCACCAAGGCGACAGUCCGUAGCUGGUUUGAGAGGACGACCAGCCACGCUGGGACUGAGACACGGCCCAGACUCCUACGGGAGGCAGCAGUGAGGGAAUUUUGGACAAUGGAAACCUGAUCCAGCCAUCCCGCGUGUGCGAUGAAGGCCUUCGGGUUGUCAGCACUUUUGGCAGGAAAAGAAAACGGCACGGAUAAUACCCCGUGCAACUGACAGUACCUGCAGAAUAAGCACCGGCUAACUACGUGCCAGCAGCCGCGGUAAUACGUAGGGUGCAAGCGUUAAUCGGAAUUACUGGGCGGCAAAAGCGUGCGCAGGCAGUUCCGGAAAAGAAAAGAUGUGAAAUCCCAGAGCUUAACUUUGAACUGCAUUUUUAACUACCGAGCUAGAGUGUGUCAGAGGGAGGUGGAAUUCCGCGUGUAGCAGUGAAAUGCGUAGAUAUGCGGAGGAACACCGAUGGCGAAGGCAGCCUCCUGGGAUAACACUGACGCUCAUGCACGAAAGCGUGGGAACAAACAGGAUUAGAUACCCUGGUAGUCCACGCCCUAAACGAUGUCAACUAGCUGUUGGGGCCUUCGGGCCUUGGUAGCGCAGCUAACGCGUGAAGUUGACCGCCUGGGGAGUACGGUCGCAAGAUUAAAACUCAAAGGAAUUGACGGGGACCCGCACAAGCGGUGGAUGAUGUGGAUUAAUUCGAUGCAACGCGAAAAACCUUACCUACCCUUGACAUGUCUGGAAUCCCGAAGAGAUUUGGGAGUGCUCGCAAGAGGACCGGAACACAGGUGCUGCAUGGCUGUCGUCAGCUCGUGUCGUGAGAUGUUGGGUUAAGUCCGCAACGAGCGCAACCCUUGUCAUUAGUUGCUACGAAGGGCACUCUAAUGAGACUGCCGGUGACAAACCGGAGGAAGGUGGGGAUGACGUCAAGUCCUCAUGGCCCUUAUGGGUAGGGCUUCACACGUCAUACAAUGGUCGGGACAGAGGGUCGCCAGCUUGCGAGGGGAGCCAAUCCCAGAAACCCGAUCGUAGUCCGGAUCGCAGUCUGCAACUCGACUGCGUGAAGUCGGAAUCGCUAGUAAUCGCGGAUCAGCAUGUCGCGGUGAAUACGUUCCCGGGUCUUGUACACACCGCCCGUCACACCAUGGGAGUGGGUUUUACCAGAAGUAGUUAGCCCUAACCGUAAGGAGGGCGAUUACCACAGUAGGAUUCAUGACUGGGGUGAAGUCGUAACAAGGUAA
This 1509-nucleotide ribosomal RNA is filed under the name uncultured Bordetella sp. RNAcentral's name for it is "partial 16S-23S ribosomal RNA intergenic spacer". It matches the Rfam family "Bacterial small subunit ribosomal RNA". The record is from RNAcentral. Lineage: Bacteria; Pseudomonadati; Pseudomonadota; Betaproteobacteria; Burkholderiales; Alcaligenaceae.